Cinara cedri is the source of this 678-nucleotide non-coding RNA. The record is from the annotation of a GenBank genome assembly. Lineage: Eukaryota; Metazoa; Arthropoda; Insecta; Hemiptera; Aphididae.
UUUGCCCUUGUGAUACCGAAAAAAUAACCCCCUGUCCACGAAAUUCAUGUUAAUAAAGUACGACGUUCGUGCUCGGAAAAAGACUUGCGCUCCCCGCCCCUCCCUCGGGAAAUUGACCGUUUGGCGCGACCCGAGGGGAAGGCACGUGCCAGACGCAUUCGUUGUUUUUUUUUUCUCCGGGAAGGCGCAAACGAACAUCGAUAUGUUGAAAUAACGAUAACGGACCCUACAUAAACGAUCAUCGGUGUCGAGACGAUGAAAUAUCGCGUCCAUAUCGCGCGUUACGUCCGUUUCCCUCACCCACCCAAACCUCUCAAAAUGUUCAGUCGAAAAGUGUUCGCCGGCCGUAACGCUCGUGUCGCUUGUCAUACAAAUACGAUUGUUUUUUAUUUACCGUCGGUCAUUCCGCUGUAUUUAUCGCUAUAGAAAAGCGUUGCCGGAUUGAUUUACAUCGCGGCAUGGUUCGGAAUGAAUCGGUGGGAGCGGGGCCUGGGAGGGGACCGAGAAAUAUAAGAGAACGCGUAGUCGCGGACGGUACGGUCGCGCGAAAUCUAUCGAAUUUCCUUGCGGACGACUGACGCGCGGUAAAAGCGAGAAGAUAGGGCGGCGAUUUUAAAUCCGCUCCGGGCGACCGCGAAAACUAUACGGAAGAUUUUCGUCCGGUUAUUCCAUCGGAAA